RNAcentral lists this long non-coding RNA (215 nucleotides) under Mytilus galloprovincialis (Mediterranean mussel). Lineage: Eukaryota; Metazoa; Mollusca; Bivalvia; Mytilida; Mytilidae. The record is from RNAcentral.
GCUUGGUACCGCUUCUAAAGCUCUUCUUUUAAGCCUAAUCCCAAUUGCAAAGUCUCAGAAUAGCCAAAUUAAUUCUGCCAAUCACGCUUGAUUGCACCUGGUCAGAAUCCCCUGACCAAAAUGGCUAACUAGGUCACACCAUGUGUGUUCGAACCACCCGCACUACCAAUAAUGUGGUGUUCGUCUUGGGGAAAGACUAUUUCCCUUGAAAGGAC